CGUAGGGGGCGAGCGUUGUCCGGAAUUAUUGGGCGUAAAGAGCGUGUAGGCGGUUCGGUAAGUCUGUCGUGAAAACCUGAGGCUCAGCCUCGGGCGUGCGAUGGAUACUGCCGGGCUAGAGGAUGGUAGAGGCGAGUGGAAUUCCCGGUGUAGCGGUGAAAUGCGCAGAUAUCGGGAGGAACACCAGUAGCGAAGGCGGCUCGCUGGGCCACUCCUGACGCUGAGACGCGAAAGCUAGGGGAGCGAACAGGAUUAGAUACCCUGGUAGUCCUAGCCGUAAACGAUGAACACUAGGUGUGGGGGGAGUCGAAUCCCUCUGUGCCGCAGCUAACGCGAUAAGUGUUCCGCCUGGGGAGUACGGCCGCAAGGCUA
RNAcentral lists this ribosomal RNA (372 nucleotides) under uncultured organism. RNAcentral's name for it is "bacterial SSU rRNA". It matches the Rfam family "Bacterial small subunit ribosomal RNA", at positions 526 to 896 of the family's 1533-position model. The record is from RNAcentral.